This 428-nucleotide ribosomal RNA is filed under the name uncultured bacterium. Its description in RNAcentral is "bacterial SSU rRNA". It matches the Rfam family "Bacterial small subunit ribosomal RNA", at positions 355 to 774 of the family's 1533-position model. The record is from RNAcentral.
UGGGGAAUUUUGGACAAUGGGCGCAAGCCUGAUCCAGCCAUGCCGCGUGCGGGAAGAAGGCCUUCGGGUUGUAAACCGCUUUAGUCUAGGAAAAAGGUGUGCGAGGAUAAUACCCUCGUGCUUUGAUGGUACUGGAAGAAUAAGCACCGGCUAACUACGUGCCAGCAGCCGCGGUAAUACGUAGGGUGCAAGCGUUGUUCGGAUUUACUGGGCGUAAAGGGCGCGUAGGCGGCGCGGUAAGUCACUUGUGAAAUCUCUGAGCUUAACUCAGAACGGCCAAGUGAUACUGCAGUGCUAGAGUGUAGAAGGGGCAAUCGGAAUUCUUGGUGUAGCGGUGAAAUGCGUAGAUAUGCGGAGGAACACCGAUGGCGAAGGCAAUCCCCUGGGCCUGCACUGACGCUCAUGCACGAAAGCGUGGGGAGCAAACA